UUGAGAGAGGAAUGUGAGUAGACAUCUGGAGACUUUAUCCAUUCCCCUUUUUAUUUUACCCAAAUGAAAAUAGCCCACCCAUCAUAAAAUCUACAAAAAUACCUCGCCUGCUUCAUUCUUCAUCUCUCUCACUCCGAUCUCACCCUCCUAACCCUAAAAGAAGCUUAGAAGAGGGGUUUGAAGACCUUCUUGAACAGAAUACAGAUGAAAAGGUGGAUGAAAUUGUUGUAAAGGAUUUAAUAAACAGGAAAAGUUGAAAAGGAAAGAUGAGCAAAUCUUUCAAGUCAAAAGGAGGUCAAAUGUGAAAGUAAAGGGCCCUCUUUCCACCUACUCUCCAUCUGCUUAAGCAGAUCAAGAGCAAGGUGAAACUUUUAUAAUAUUGGGCAAAUCUGGAAUUGGGCUUAAAAUGGGGAAUUUUCGUUCAUUUUCACCAUCUUUUAUCUAGUAACUCUCCAUCCUUAGUUUAGUGGAGGGUUUGCAAUCUCUUGGAGCUUAAAUUUGAACUAAUUUGAGGCAAGAAUUAAUUAGAGGAAAUCCGAAGUGUAGAUUUGACUUCUUCUAUUGAAGAUUCAUUUGAGUUUGAAGUGUGAUUUAUAUAUAUUUAUUUUUCAUGAAUAACUUUGAUGGAAAUCUUGGUCUAUUUGGAUUCAUUAUCUUUAUGAUUUGAUAGAUCUACCGCUUGGGGGUUAUGCGUGAUUAAGGUGCAAGUAUGUGUGGAUUGUAGUUGUAGCUCAAAUUCUUAGUUAAUGUUGAUGGGUUCUAUUAUUUCUUGAUUAAAUUGGUUGGAAUUUGUGGGUGAAAUCCCCAAAUACUCAAAUGGGUUUGAUGAAUGAAAAUCCCUUGAAAGCUCAAACUAUCCUUGAAAGAGGAGUUCGGGUAAACUUUUGGAACCCACCUCAUCCUUGAAAGAGGGAUGUGGUAACCUAGGCAAUAGUAGACAAUUUAUAGGAAUAGUUCACUAAUUUUUACUAUCGUAGACGUAAGGGUGAUUUUGAGGUUGACUAUACCUUUAGGCAUCAUCCUAGAAAUAGGAACUCCCAAUUGAGGUUUUGGGUGAAAUUUUGGCAACAGCCAUGAGGUAUUCGAAAGAAACCAUGGGUGACAUUUUUGAUGUUUUGUUGAAAAGCUAACAUAAAAAAACCUCUAACCUAGCGUACCCGCUCUUUCAUUAACUUGAAUUGGAUGAUACUUUCAUGUAUACACACAUACUAAUUUUCCCCUAGGAAAGCAUAACCCAAAGAUCCAUUCCUUAUUAAUUACCCUCUAAUCUAUUCUUAGUCUCGAAUUAGUCUCUUAGAAUCCCAAGAAUUGCUUUCACAUUUGAAAAGAUUGAAAAUGCCCCAAACUAUUUUGCACCAUAGGUUUGAACUUAGCUAGUAGCUAUCAUUUCGAAGCUAGUCAACCGCCACUCACAUUGUUCCUCGUGGAUUCGACCCCGACUCCUAGUUGGGUAAAUAUAUUGACAACGACUGACUUACACUAAAUUGACGUGUAAGUUGAGUGUUAUCAGUGCCACGGGCCUAUCCCAAUGGUUCCACUAUUUUCGUCUCCCAAACAUGACCCCACGCUCGACCAAAAGUUUCAAAACUCACCCGAUAUGUACUUUUAACCUCCCUAAUCAUGAAUCAACUAAAAACCAACAUUUCGGGGUUGGGAAGGUCGAUUUAAAAAUCUAUAAAGUCUAGAGGUCUUGAAAAUGACUAUGUCCUAGACACUUGGUAAAGUUUUCAGGCCUUAAGACCAUUAUGCAUGCAACUAAAAGGUAAACUGAGCUAAGAUUAGCACGGGGUAUUACAUUAUCUCCCCUGGGAUCAUUCCUCCCCGAAUGAUAGUUCGAGACACAUUAAGUAUGAUUUAAAGAAUUACAUAAACUAAAAAUGAGUAAGAUAUAUUCAAUACCUUCCAUAUCAUUAUCCACGAAUUCAAAGAGUGAUGGAUAUCUUGCACGUUUAUCAUGCUCCGACUGUCAAGUAGCUUCCUCAACUCUAUGAUUCUUCCAGCACACUUAAACCGAAGCUAUAUCUUUACUUCUUCACUUCCUAACCUGUCGAUCUUGUAUAGCAAUGGGUUCUUCUUCAUACGAUAAGGAAUCCUUCACAUCAACAUCCUCAACAGGCAACACAAGUGAAUGAUCUCCAAUAUAUUUCUUCAAUAUUAAUACAUGAAAAUAGGAUGAACAGAAGCUAAACCUGUAGGAAAAUCUAACUCAUAAGCAACUCCACCGAUCCUUUUUGUAAUUUAAUAAAGACCUAUUUA
This is a long non-coding RNA of Capsicum annuum, 2256 nucleotides long. RefSeq lists it as uncharacterized. The record is from RefSeq and is a predicted model, not a curated record. The transcript has 3 exons. Lineage: Eukaryota; Viridiplantae; Streptophyta; Magnoliopsida; Solanales; Solanaceae.